Long non-coding RNA from Asparagus officinalis (garden asparagus), 641 nucleotides. RefSeq lists it as uncharacterized. The transcript is spliced from 5 exons. NCBI's taxonomy places the organism in Eukaryota, Viridiplantae, Streptophyta, Magnoliopsida, Asparagales, Asparagaceae. The record is from RefSeq and is a predicted model, not a curated record.
GCUAUUUUUUGGGUGAAGCUUCCUAGAGAAGAAGAGAAGCUAUAAAUAGAUGAGUCGAGGAUCAGAAAUCGAGCGCUUUUCUAUUUGAAUUUCUCCCCUCUUUUCUCUCUUCUCAGAUCUAGGUUUCUCACAUUCGAAGAUGGCGAUCUGAGUUCCAGCCUCUGAUUCGAGUUCGAGAAUGUCGUAGGACGCUAAGAAUCUCAUCGGCGAUACUUGUGAAUCCUUUGCUUUCAUUUCGGAAAAAUAAGGCAUCCAGCAAACAUUCUAUUUGUUAAGUGGCACAGCCUGUGCCAUCCCAGGCUGAAGAGCCAAGGAUGGAUUUUCUCCUGAAGAGAUCUUUCUGAAGGACGACAAGUCGAUUUGAGAUUUACACUGAAGACAGAACAAUAGCCUAGUCAAAUAUACCGUUUUCCCUGGAGUUGAAGAUGCAGGUGUUUCUUGUCCUCUUGGUGCUUAAUGGUCAUGAUCUUAAACUAUUAUCAGUUAAAGUUGAUGGUGAAGAAGUUAAGUAAACUAAUGGAUUGGAAAGAACGAAGAAUAAUUUGGAUUGAAGUUGAAAAGGUCCAUGGAAGCCCAACAAUGUCGACAAGCCAAAGAACAUUAGGCAAAAGAGAUCCUCUCCCAUAGACAUGUCUCGGACC